AGAGGGUGCAAGCGUUAAUCGGAAUUACUGGGCGUAAAGGGCGCGUAGGUGGGUUUAAUUAAGUCAGAUGUGAAAACCCCCUGGGGCUCAACCUAGGGACGUGCAUUUGAAACUGAUUGACUAGAGAUCAGGAGAGGGAAGUGGAAUUUCCGGUGUAGCGGUGAAAUGCGUAGAUAUCGGAAGGAACAUCAGUGGCGAAGGCGACUUCCUGGCCUGAUACUGACACUGAGGCGCGAAAGCGUGGGUAGCGAACAGGAUUAGAUACCCUGGUAGUCCACGCAGUAAACGAUGAGAACUAGAUGUUAGGGCGCUAGCCGUCUUAGUAUCGCAGCUAACGCAUUAAGUUCUCCGCCUGGGGAGUACGGUCGCAAAGAUUA
RNAcentral lists this ribosomal RNA (377 nucleotides) under uncultured organism. RNAcentral's name for it is "partial 16S ribosomal RNA". It matches the Rfam family "Bacterial small subunit ribosomal RNA", at positions 527 to 896 of the family's 1533-position model. The record is from RNAcentral.